ACUGACUAUCCAAGUCCCUGUUGGAGUCAGUCAGAGCAUUUCCAUAGAGAGCCACUUUGCAUCAGCAGCACCAUGCUCCAGUGCUCUGGGAGAGUUUAUAGUCCUGAGAGUUGAACACUGGAUGACUGACAGCUGUCCUUCAUGACAACAGAAGCCACAGAAAUCCUCCUCAUCAAAAACAUGACUUUGAUCUCCGUCCUCAUCUGGACUCUCCUCUGCUGCUGCUUCACAGAGUCCAGAGGCCAGGUCACAGUGACUCAGCCUGGAGCAGUGAGCUCUGCUGUGGGAGGCUCCGUCACCAUCAACUGUAGGACCAGUCAGAACGUUUAUGUUUAUAACAAUUAUCACAAUUUAGCCUGGUACCAACAGAGAGAUGGAGAAACUCCUAAACUGCUCAUUUGGGGUGCUAAUCAGCGACAAUCAGGGAUUCCAGCUCGUUUUACAGGCAGUGGAUCAAACUCUGACUUCACUCUGACCAUCAGUGGAGUUCAGACUGAAGAUGCAGCAGUUUACUACUGUCAGAGUGAACACUACAUCAACAGUCAGCAUGUGUUCACACAGUGAAAAAGCGUCGUACAAAAACCUCCCUCAGUCAGACUGAACAGAAACUGAACUGACUGCUGCAGCUGGAAGCUACUGCAGAGACUGAUACACUUCACUGAGGACACACACACACACACACACACACACACACACACACACACACACACACACACACACACACACACACACACACACCACUUUAGGGCAACAUUAGAUGGCAGUGGUGACCAUUAUUGCCAUGAGAAUCAGGAGAGAGAUAUAAAGAGUUAUCACGUUAUGCAGAUGACACCCUGCUUUAUAUUUCUAAUCCUGAAAAUCAUUUUUAUUAUUUAGAUAUUUUAUUCAGAUAUUUUGAAUCAGUUUUAGGUCCAAAUUAAGAACAUAUGAACAUAACACAUGGAUCUGCUUUAAGGGCAGAUGUUAGUAAUAACAGAUAGCUUUGUGACUCACCAUUGAGUCCAGUGUUGUUACCAAUGAUAACUGAUAUAAAUCAAACUGGAUCGACUAUAGAAGAAUAUCUACAGUCUUAAAACCAUUAAAAAGUCAUUUGGGAAAAA
Molecule: non-coding RNA, 1100 nt
Organism: Larimichthys crocea (large yellow croaker)
Lineage: Eukaryota; Metazoa; Chordata; Actinopteri; Sciaenidae
Source: the annotation of a RefSeq genome assembly